Molecule: small nuclear RNA, 151 nt
Filed under: Myotis davidii
Lineage: Eukaryota; Metazoa; Chordata; Mammalia; Chiroptera; Vespertilionidae
Description: U2 spliceosomal RNA
Rfam family: U2 spliceosomal RNA
About the family: U2 is a small nuclear RNA (snRNA) component of the spliceosome (involved in pre-mRNA splicing). Complementary binding between U2 snRNA (in an area lying towards the 5' end but 3' to hairpin I) and the branchpoint sequence (BPS) of the intron results the bulging out of an unpaired adenosine, on the BPS, which initiates a nucleophilic attack at the intronic 5' splice site, thus starting the first of two transesterification reactions that mediate splicing.
Source: Rfam by way of RNAcentral
AUCGCUUCUCGGCCUUUUGGCUAAGAUCAAGUGUAAUACGGCACUUUAAAACAAACUGUUAGUCUUUCGUUGAUUGCACUGUAAAUUCCUAGUAAUUGAAAAAAUAUGAUUUUUCUUCCCUUACUGCACUCUUUAAAACGGAGAAUUUUCU